AUUAUCUUGGCAGACUUAAGUGCAGUAAAUUUAGAAUUUAUAAAUGUAAUUAUUAAUUACAGGUAAUA
This 68-nucleotide transfer RNA is filed under the name Pseudoxycheila chaudoiri. RNAcentral's name for it is "transfer RNA-Leu". Lineage: Eukaryota; Metazoa; Arthropoda; Insecta; Coleoptera; Carabidae. The record is from RNAcentral.